RNAcentral lists this ribosomal RNA (244 nucleotides) under uncultured bacterium. RNAcentral's name for it is "partial 16S ribosomal RNA". It matches the Rfam family "Bacterial small subunit ribosomal RNA", at positions 533 to 776 of the family's 1533-position model. The record is from RNAcentral.
UGCAAACGUUGUUCGGAAUUACUGGGCGUAAAGCGCGUGUAGGCGGCCCUGCAAGUCGGAUGUGAAAUCCCACGGCUCAACCGUGGAAGUGCAUUCGAAACUGCAGGGCUAGAGUCCUGGAGAGGAAGGUGGAAUGCUUGGUGUAGAGGUGAAAUUCGUAGAUAUCAAGCGGAACACCGGUGGCGAAGGCGGCCUUCUGGACAGUGACUGACGCUGAGACGCGAAAGCGUGGGGAGCAAACAGG